GCAAGACUGACUUCAUUACCAUCUGUCUUCAUCUACCACUGCUUGAAUAAGUAUCAAGUAUGGAGCCUUUCCUGGACUCCAGUCACCGAGGCUGAGAGGGAAGCAGUUAUGUAACCAUGUGAUGCCUCACACUGCGCCCAGGGUGCCUGCAGUGUCCAGGAACACUUCAUCACUGAGGGGCUCUGAAAUCCAACAACCGUCUACAAUCCUGUGUCUAAAAGAAGCACUCUCUGUUCCUGUUAUCCUAAGGAUGGAUGAAAGCACAGAGCUUGCAUCUCGUGGAACAGGUAAAGGUAUUCCAGCUAACCUGAAUUCUGAAGCAAGAACACUUCUGUACCAGAAGGGCUAGAGACACACGCCCCACCCAGGACUGCCUCGGACUCAGCCUCCAGGGAAGCGCCGUGCUUCCCA
Long non-coding RNA from Mus musculus (house mouse), 411 nucleotides. RefSeq annotates it as predicted gene, 35282. The transcript is spliced from 3 exons. The record is from RefSeq and is a predicted model, not a curated record. NCBI's taxonomy places the organism in Eukaryota, Metazoa, Chordata, Mammalia, Rodentia, Muridae.